Molecule: ribosomal RNA, 465 nt
Filed under: uncultured bacterium
Lineage: Bacteria
Description: partial 16S ribosomal RNA
Rfam family: Bacterial small subunit ribosomal RNA
Source: RNAcentral
GACGAACGCUGGCGGCGUGCUUAACACAUGCAAGUCGAACGGACAGGCCCCUUUGGAGCUACUUGCAUGACGAACGGGUGGGUAACACGUGGGUAACCUGCCCUAGACUUCGGGCUAACUACCGGGAACUGGGGCUAGUACCGGAUAGGUAUCAUUGCUGCAUGUUAGGUGUUGGAAAGCUUGUGCGGUUUUGGCUGGACUGGCGGCUUAUCAGCUUGUUGGGGGGGGUAUUGCUUACUAAGGGUGUGACGGGUAGACGGCCUGGGAGGGCGAACGGCCACAAUGGGACUGCGAUACGGCCCAGAAGCCUAUGGGAGGCAGUAGUGGGGAAUAUUGCACAACGGGCGGACGCCUGAGGCAGCAACGCCGCGUGCGGGAUGACGUCUUUCGGGUUGAAAACCGCUGUCAGCAGGGGCGAAGCUUGUGGUGACGGUACCUGCAGAAGAAGCACCGGCUAACUACGUG